This 650-nucleotide ribosomal RNA is filed under the name fungal endophyte. RNAcentral describes it as "eukaryotic LSU rRNA". The stretch from base 200 to 353 matches the Rfam family "5.8S ribosomal RNA". Lineage: Eukaryota; Fungi. The record is from RNAcentral.
GGUGACCAGCGGAGGGAUCAUUAAAGAGUUCUAUAACUCCCAAACCCAUGUGAACAUACCUAACGUUGCCUCGGCAGGUCGCACCUACCUUGUAGCACCCUACCCUGUAGGGCCUACCCGGGAGGUGCGGGUAAGCCUGCCGGCGGCCCACCAAACUCUGUUUGAUAUUGAAUUCUGAACCUAUAACUAAAUAAGUUAAAACUUUCAACAACGGAUCUCUUGGUUCUGGCAUCGAUGAAGAACGCAGCGAAAUGCGAUAAGUAAUGUGAAUUGCAGAAUUCAGUGAAUCAUCGAAUCUUUGAACGCAUAUUGCGCCCAUUAGUAUUCUAGUGGGCAGGACCGUUCGAGCGUCAUUUCAACCCUUAAGCCUUCGUUGCUUAGUGUUGGGAGCCUACGGCAACGUAGCUCCUCAAAGUUAGUGGCGGAGUUGGUUCACACUCUAGACGUAGUAAUUUUUUUAUCUCGCCUAUUAGUUGGACUAAUCCCCUGCCGUAAAACCCCCAAUUUAUCAAGGUUGACCUCGAAUCGGUUCAGACAAACUCGCUAAAUUGAAGCAUCUUAGUCAGCGAAGGAAAAGAAACCAACAGGGAUUGCCCUAGUAACGGCGAGUGAAGCGGCAACAGCUCAAAUUUGAAAUCUGGCCCUCGGGU